This 4773-nucleotide long non-coding RNA is filed under the name Sus scrofa (pig). RNAcentral describes it as "lncRNA (ENSSSCG00025076914.1)". Lineage: Eukaryota; Metazoa; Chordata; Mammalia; Artiodactyla; Suidae. The record is from RNAcentral.
UUUUUUUUUUUUUUUUUUUUUUUUUUUUUUUNUUGUCCUUUUAGGGCCACACCCGUGGCAUAUGGAGGUUCUGAGGCUAGGGGUGGGAUAGGAGCUGUAGCCGCCCAGCCUACGCCAGAGCCACAGCAAUGUCAGAUCUGAGGCACGCCUGUGACCUACCCCAUAGCUUAUGGCAAUGCUGGAUACUUAACCCACCGAGUGAGGCCAGGGAUUAAAUCUGCAACCUCAUAGUUCCUAGUCGGAUUCCUAUUCAUUCUGAUUUCAAACAUCCCAACAACCAAUAUCAUAAAAACUAAUUCAACCAAUAAAAUAAAAUAAGACAUAAUUUAAAGUCUAAGUGAGUUGUAGAAGUGAGGAUGAAAGCACCUCUUAAUAUCUUUUCCUUUUCAACUUUAAUGUAUUUCUUUUUUUUUGUUUUUGUCUUUUUGCCAUUUCUUGGGCCACUCCUGAGGCAUAUGGAGCAGCCCUAGAAAAGGCAAAAGACAAAAAAAAAAAGAAAAGAAAAGAAAAUACCAAUUUAAAUGACAUCAAAUAUCUCAUCUGAAAUCACAGUGAUCUGAAGAAAGUAGUACAGUGUAUUUCAAGUGCAAAAAUGAAAGAAAAGUCAACUGUGAAUUCAAUAUUGAGUGAAACUAUCCUUCCAGAACAAAGGAGAAAUAAAUACAUUGUUAGGGAAGUAAACAAAGAAUUUGUUGUUAGUGGACCAACCCCUAUAUCAUGGCUAAAAGAAGCUCUCUACAUAAAAAGAAAAUAUUAAUGGAAAAAAGGAAAAAAAACAAUUACAUGGGUUAACUCUGAGUUUUAUAUGUGGGAGAAUAUCCUAUCCUUUUGAUUCAGCAAAAAAAAGCCUAUAUUUUUUUCUGAAUCAAAAUAAUACAAUUUGAUGCAGUGUCAAAUGCAUGCAAAGGAAAUACUUAAGACCAUUACAUUUUAAAAGUGAGGAGAAUAAAGGAUUAAAAUCAGUCAAGAUGAAAAAGAAAAUAUAAGUAGUCCUAAAACCAGUAAAGAAAUUGAAUUAGCAACUUAAGUUGACUCAAAAAAAAGAAAUCUUCAAGCCAACAUGGCUUCACUAGAGAACUUUUAAAACUUUAAAACAUUUAAAAAAGAAUAACACACAUUUUACACACUUUUUUUCCAGAAAUUAGAAGGGGAGGGAACACUUUCAUUCCAUAAACCCAGUAUGGUUCUGAUACCAAAAUCAGACAGAGAGUACAAAGCAAGAAAACUAUAGAUCAAUAUGUCUUGUGAACUUAGAUGCAACAAUCUUCAACAAAAUAUUAUAAAAUUGAGCCCAGCAAUUAUAAAAUAAAUUAUGUACAAUAAUCAAUUGUAAUGUAUUCAGGAUAUGCAAUGCUGGUUAAAUAUUAAAAAAUCAAGCAGUGUUCCAACAAUAUUAACAGGAUAUAGAAAGAAAUCAUGACGACAAUAUCAAUUGAUGCAGAAAACAUAUUCGAGCAAAUCCAGACCCAUUAAUUAUAAAAGACGUAGGAAACUAGAAUUAUACUUUCUCUACUAAAUAAAGCAUUUUAUGAGAAAACUACAGCUAACAUUAUAUUUAAUGGUGUAAGACUAAAUGUUCUCACACUAAUAUUAGGAACAGGACAAGAAUGUCUUUACCACUCUAAUUCAACAUAGUACUGGCUGUUCUAGCAAGGGAAAAAGGAUGAAAAAUACAUUGAAGGCAUUCAUACUGGAAAUAACCCAAAUUUUAUAACUACACAUGUACAGAAAGAAAAAAGACAGUGGAAAAAAUUUUCAGGAGAUUUAUUUAUUUACCGAGUCAGGCAAAUAUUUAUUAAGACUUAAGUACAAAAAUAAUGAGAAAAAUGGAUAAAUUUGACCUCAUUGAAAUAAAAAACGACUGCUCUCAAUAGUCCCUGUUAAUAAGCUGAAAGACAAAUUAUACACUAUGAGAAAAUAUUUGCAAGCCACACAUCCUACAAAGGGUCUGUGUCCAAAAUAUUUAAAGAAUUCUCAAGUUUCAAGAGUAAACAAACAAAAGAAGUCCAAUUAGAAAAAUGGGCAAAAUAAAAUUAACAGACAUCACACUGAGGAUAUACAUACAGCACCCAAGCACUUGAAAUGAUGUCCAAUACCAUUAGGCAUUAAGGAAAUGUAAAUUAAAACCAUGACAUGAUAUCACAAAACACCUAAUCAGAAUGGUUGAAACAAUAUGCUGACUUGGAGUUCCACUGUGGUACAGAAGGUUAAGGAUCUGGUGUUGUCCCUGCUAUGACUCAGAUCACAGCAGUGGCAUGUGUUCAAUCCCUGGUUAGGGAACUUCUGCUUGUUGUAGGUGCGGCCAGAAAAAAAAAGUGCUGACAAAGAUGUGGAGAAACUUGAUAACCCAUUCACUGCUGGUGUGCAUGCAAAGUGGUACUCAUGAAAACAGACUGAAAGUUUAUUUUUAACUAUAAAUACACUGAGCAUACAAACAGCCGUUUUACUCAUGAGCAUUUAUUCCCAAGUAAUGAAAACUUUUGUUUAUGCAAAAAUCUAAAAGAAAAUAUUAAUAGCAACUUGAUUCAUGAUAAUCAAAAAGUCAAAACAACCCCAAUAUCCUUUGAUGGAUGAAUGGAUAAACAAACUGAGUUACAGAAAUCAUGGAAUACUACUCAGCAAUGAAAUGGAAUGAGAUAUUGAUAAAGGCAACAACUUGUAAAGACAUAAAGGGAAUUAUAUGAUAUCCUUAAAAUAAAGUAUUAUAGACAAUAUAUUAGUGGUUGUCAUGUAAACACAUGAGCCUGGAUAAUGGAAGAGUUCUGCAUCUUGAUUGCUGUUUAGUUUCAUAGAGCAACAUAUGUGACAAAAUUACAUAGAACUUUGCAUAUACACAUACACAAAUGAAUGCAUAUAUCACUGUUGACUCUGAAUAUAUUUUGUGGAUGGUACAAAUACAAAUUUCAUGAUAUACUAUAUUUAUGCAAGAUGUUAAAUUUUAGGGAGAAGUGUGGACAAAGUAGGGGACCUCUCUUGACUUUUUUUUAGCUUCCUGGGAAUCUAUAAUUAUUUCAAAAGAAAUAUGUAAACAAAAUGUAUUACUUGUUCCCAAAGUCUGCUCAGGAACUCAAGUAAGUUUAAGAAAGCUAAUAGACUAUGGAACAUUUAAUCUGUAUUAAAGUGAUCAAGACUGCUCUUCUCCAUUGCACUAAUUUCUCAGCAAUGCACCCAUUUAAGCUUUCAGUCUUUCCAUAUGAUUGUAAUGGCUGACCUGUUUGUACCUAAAAGUAAGUUAUAUAUAACAAAUAAAAGUUAAGGAGUUCCCGUCGUGGCACAGUGGUUAACGAAUCUGACUAGGAACCAUGAUCCCUGGCCUUGCUCAGUGGGUUAAGGAGCUGGCGUUGCCGUGACCUGUGGUGUAGGGUGCAGACACGGCUCAGAUCCUGCGUUGCUGUGGCUCUGGUGUAGGCUGGCAGCUACAGCUCGGAUUAGACCCCUAGCUUGGGAACCUCCAUAUGCCGCAGGAGCUGCCCAAGAAAUGGCAAAAAGAUAAAAACAAACAAACAAACAAACAAAACAAAUAAGAGUUAAUUUAGAUACAAAUGUGGAAUCAAGGACUACAUUAGCCAUAAUCAUCAAAUUAUAUUUUCUCAAGAUGUUUCUUCUCUAGGCAUAAAAGAAACACUAAGUCUAUUCAUAAUAUUGUCACAAAAUCUCUGCCUCAAAAUGAGUCUUCUUUAGUUUGUACUUAGGUCUGAGUCUUGUAUUUAGAAAAACAAGUUUUAAGUCAUGUUCAUUAUUUUUCCUUUCAAGGUUCUAUAAAAGAAACCCAUCUAAGUAUUUGACAGAUUAGAGUUUACAACCACUUCCAUGCCUACUGACAUAAUCUUUGACACAGAGGCAUAUAUGUAUGAUGUCGCGCUCCUAUUUUAAAGUGCUUAACAAUAUAUGUUAGACCUACACUCUCACAGCUCAGUCUUGUCUAUGUGUAAGUCCUGAGGUUAAGUAUAUUCUCCCCAAAUUCCAGAAAGAAUUUAAGUGAGGCAAAGUAUCUUUCUUUUUAGAAUUUAGGUUGGAAAGAAAUUAUUUAAAAUAAGUACACUAUUCAUUUUGAAAUUAAAUUGCUUUAAUUUUGCUGGAAAAUAGGAAAAAGUUAUAAUUUUUUGGCUAAAUCAGAAUACAUCAAUUUUGCUUAGUGGGUAAAAUAUGGUUACAUACUAAUCAGCUUGGGUUGACCAACUGCCUCCAGUUAACAAAGAAAAAAAGCCUCGGUUUACACUAUUUUUAAAAAAGUAACUAUCAAGAUAAUUCUGUUUCAUGAUGUGCAACAUAAUUACACUUGUGACCAAAAUUGACCUCCUUACCAAUGAUCUCUGUUAAUUAUUAUCUGGAAUUUAAGUUAUCAGAUAAACUGUACAAAGUAAUAUCAAGAAACAUUUCAGUGCUUUUCAUCAUAAAAUUAAGAAGCCUACCACAAACAGCUGGUGAAAAUAACGAAUAGUUGGUAUGUAUUAUUUUACACUGCAUGUAAAUAUUAAGUAGAAAGUAAAUUUUACUCUUAGGCUGAAAAUAUUUGUCAAAAGUUUUCUAGUCAACAAACAAAUAUUUUUAUACUAACACUUCUCUACUAAAAUCAUAUUACCAUGCACUAAAUAAAACAAGCAGGAUACAUUUCCCUCCCUUGGAACAGGAUAUUUAUUGCUUUGGUUCAGUGACAGUGAUUGGCUCUUUUAAGAACGAAUUGGUUUAACUCAUGCUUCUGUGCAGGCAGUGUACUUGAUUAGAUCUAGGGUGGAGAGGUUUCAAAGUCAGUGUCUCCUCUCGAAUGGCUGU